This is a small nuclear RNA of Physeter macrocephalus (sperm whale), 107 nucleotides long. Lineage: Eukaryota; Metazoa; Chordata; Mammalia; Artiodactyla; Physeteridae. The record is from Ensembl.
GUGCUCACUUCAAUAGCACAUAUACUAAAAUUGGAGCGAUACAGAGAAAAUUAGCAUGGUCCCUGCACAAGGAUGACACGCAAAUUCGUGAAGUGUUCCAUAUAUUU